This 579-nucleotide ribosomal RNA is filed under the name Bacillus cereus. Its description in RNAcentral is "bacterial SSU rRNA". It matches the Rfam family "Bacterial small subunit ribosomal RNA", at positions 876 to 1454 of the family's 1533-position model. The record is from RNAcentral. Lineage: Bacteria; Bacillati; Bacillota; Bacilli; Caryophanales; Bacillaceae.
GGGAGUACGGGGGCAAGGCUGUAACUCAAAGGAAUUGACGGGGGCCCCGCACAAGCGCCGGAGCAUGUGGUUUAAUUCGAAGCAACGCGAAGAACCUUACCAGGUCUUGACAUCCUCUGAAAACCCUAGAGAUAGGGCUUCUCCUUCGGGAGCAGAGUGACAGGUGGUGCAUGGUUGUCGUCAGCUCGUGUCGUGAGAUGUUGGGUUAAGUCCCGCAACGAGCGCAACCCUUGAUCUUAGUUGCCAUCAUUAAGUUGGGCACUCUAAGGUGACUGCCGGUGACAAACCGGAGGAAGGUGGGGAUGACGUCAAAUCAUCAUGCCCCUUAUGACCUGGGCUACACACGUGCUACAAUGGACGGUACAAAGAGCUGCAAGACCGCGAGGUGGAGCUAAUCUCAUAAAACCGUUCUCAGUUCGGAUUGUAGGCUGCAACUCGCCUACAUGAAGCUGGAAUCGCUAGUAAUCGCGGAUCAGCAUGCCGCGGUGAAUACGUUCCCGGGCCUUGUACACACCGCCCGUCACACCACGAGAGUUUGUAACACCCGAAGUCGGUGGGGUAACCUUUUUGGAGCCAGCC